ACUUGGUUGGCUCAGUUGGUUGAGCGUCAGACUUCGGCUCAGGUCAUGAUCUCAGCUUCGUGGGUUUGAGCCCCGCAUCAGGCU
Molecule: transfer RNA, 84 nt
Filed under: Felis catus (domestic cat)
Lineage: Eukaryota; Metazoa; Chordata; Mammalia; Carnivora; Felidae
Rfam family: tRNA
About the family: Transfer RNA (tRNA) molecules are approximately 80 nucleotides in length. Their secondary structure includes four short double-helical elements and three loops (D, anti-codon, and T loops). Further hydrogen bonds mediate the characteristic L-shaped molecular structure. tRNAs have two regions of fundamental functional importance: the anti-codon, which is responsible for specific mRNA codon recognition, and the 3' end, to which the tRNAs corresponding amino acid is attached (by aminoacyl-tRNA synthetases). tRNAs cope with the degeneracy of the genetic code in two manners: having more than one tRNA (with a specific anti-codon) for a particular amino acid; and 'wobble' base-pairing, i.e. permitting non-standard base-pairing at the 3rd anti-codon position.
Source: Rfam by way of RNAcentral